AUCGUACUGAAUAUUGCAUUGUAGCACCAGUCUGUCAGACAUAUAUUCUAAUGUGCCCCUCUCUGUCUCCACCCUCCCUUCUCUCUCUACAGAUUCCACUUCCCACCCUGAUGGCCAAAGAGACGGAAGAUGUAGCCUAAUGUGUGUGUGCAUCUGUUGUGUGUGUUUAUAUGUGUGUGUUUUUGUACAUGUUGCGUGGGUGCUCACUGGCUGACCCACAUCUGUUGUGUGUGUUUUUGUACAUGUUGCGUGGGUGCUCACUGGCUGACCCACAGCAGUUCUUCACUGGCAAGCUUUAUGUCCUUGUGUACCAACUAAAGCUGCCAGCUGAAGAACUGUUGUGGUUAGCUCUUUCCUGCAUCCCACACAAAAGACCAACAGACGCCUUCGAGAAAUAUGUGUGUGUGUGUGUGUCCAGAUGCCAUGCAUGGGAUCAGUGAAUUCUCCAUCCAGAUGAUCCAUAUAGCAACCUGUCAUGGUAGCAGUGUACAGCAUGUUUAGAGGUAAACACAGCAUACAUGAAACCUAUGGCUAAAACAGAAUAGCUAGCUAUCCAAGACAUCUGUUAUGAUGCAAUAGGUCUCAGUUAAGAACACAUGAACCCACUGCACUCAAAUGUAAUGUUUUCAUUAAGUAGGAAGUAUGAAAAAUGCUUACAAACUAUGAAGUAUGUUUACUAAGUAUGAAGUUUGCUUACUAAAUAUGAAGUAUGAUCACGAAGUAGAAAGUACGCUUACUUGAAGUAUGCUUAUUGAAGAUUUUACUGUAUGUGUGCUGUAUUUUGCUCUAUUUACAGUAUGUUGUAUUUAGCUUUAUCUAUGUUUACUCAACAGAGUUGUAUCUAUGCUUUCAUGUACAAUGUGAGAUCUUUUGUACCAAACAGUCAGCAUCAACUGCCCCCACAAAUGGCCGCUGUAUUCUACUCAGGCAUUAACAGAGACGACUGCACAUUGAUGCUACUGUACAUGCGGAGUCAGCCAACAUUCCACACCCCAGCCAGGACCCGCCUGCUGCCCUUUUAUGGGUUGAAGCUGCAUGGUCGGGCAUCAUGGGUGCUGCAUUGUAUAUCAGAAAAAAACAUCUCUAGGUUAAUUUCUUAUGCUACUCAAAACCAAGAAAAAGUAGAAUGAUAGGAAGGUAGAUGGACUGGCUACUCAAAAGCUAGAAGUAUGUAAAAACAUAGGAUGAUUGAUGUAGGGAAGAACGAUACAGUACGAUAGAUUUGGGAAAGAGAGAAGGAUAGGAGGAUAGAUGGAGGCAAAGAGGACAAGAAAAUAGGUCAGGAGGAUAGAUGGAGGGAAGGAUAGGAGGAUAGAUGGAGGGAAGGUUAGGAGGAUAGAUGGAGGGACGAUCAAGAGGAUAGAUGGAGGGAAGGUUAGGAGGAUAGAUGGAGGGAAGGUUAGGAGGAUAGAUUGAGGGAAGGUUAGGAGGAUAGAUGGAGGGACGAUCAAGAGGAUAAAUGGAGGGAAGGUUAGGAGGAUAUAUUGAGGGAAGGUUAGGAGGAUAGAUGGAGGGAGGGAAGGUUAGGAGGAUAGAUGGAGGGAAAGUUAGGAGGAUAGAUGGAGGGACGAUCAAGAGGAUAGAUGGAGGGGAGGUUAGGAGGAUAGAUGGAGGGAGGGAAGGUUAGGAGGAUAGAUGGAGGGAAGGUCAGGAGGAUAGAUGAGGGAUGGUUAGGAGGAUAGAUUGAGGGAAGGUUAGGAGGAUAGAUUGAGGGAAGGUUAGGAGGAUAGAUGGAGGGACGAUCAAGAGGAUAGAUGGAGGGAAGGUUAGGAGGAUAGAUGGAGGGAAGGUCAAGUGGAUAGAUGGAGGGAAGUUUAAGAGGAUAGAAUGAUGGAUGAAAGGGAAAGAAGGAGGGAGGGAGAACAAGGUAAGGACAGACAACAAACAGCAUGACAAAAACAGCCUCCUGACAUGCUAGUAAAAGGAGAAGUGUGGCUUUGUUCCAGACUGUUGUGUGUGUGUGUGUUCUCUGGAGCAGAGCCCAGUGUUCUGACAUGUGUUUCUGUUUAUUAAUGAGUCUGGAGGCGCUGCCAAUGAAUGAUGAGUUUCCUUUCUCUCUCCCUCUGUUCUCCUUUUCUCUGUCCUCUCUUUCUCUGUCUCUCUCUCUCUCUUUGACCUCUUUCUCUCUCUCUGUGUCACACACACCCACAUGCACACACACACAUGCACACACAAUCUUGUACAGCUAACCUUGUGGGGAUACACAAUUCAGUUCCAUUCAAAGUUCUAUUUUCCCUAAUCCCUAAAUGAAACCCUAACCCUAACCUUAACCCAAAAACCGAACCUUAACUCUAACCCUAAAACUAACCUCAGCUCCUAACCGUAAGCCUUAACGUAAUUCUAACCCUAACACUAAUUCUAACCUUAAUCAUAAACCCCUUAGAAAUAGCAUUUGAACUUGUGGGGACAAACAAAAUAUCCACAGUUGGUCACAUUUUUGUUGUUUACAAUUCUUGUGGGGACUUCUGUUAAACACGUCCACACCCACACACACACUACAUCCCAGCGCCUGACCCUCAGCACGCCAUAAAUCUGACUUCAAGGGCGGUGUCGGCGUUGGCGAGAACAGGAUAUGAGAGCGUGGCCCUCUCAAAAUCUUCCCCUCCAGAUGAGAACAAAAUGUAGAGAAUGUUCCAGAUGCCGCGGCCGCUACAGUCUAGGAACAUGUGGAGCCAAGAGCUGGAAAACGAGCAGCCCUUCCUAUCUUUUCCCCCUUCUUUCCAUGCAUUUUCUCUCUGUUGUCUAACUUAUCCGUCUCUGUUUUUGGGCUGUUGGUAGGCUAGCUUUUUGUUUCGUACUGUUAUCUCUUUGAUAGUGUCUCCUUAUCUUGUUAUCUUGUCACUCUCCUCUUCCUUCCACUUCUGUCUAGCAUCUUAAAACACACACACACACACACAUUGAGGUAGAGACAAACACACACACACACACACACACAAACACACACACACACACACACAUUGAGGUAAACACACACACACACAUUGAGACAAACACACACACACACACAAACACACACACACACACACACAUUGAGGUAGAGACAAACAUACACACACACACACACACACAUUGAGGUAGAGACAAACACACACACACACACACACACACAUUGAGGUAGAGACAAACAAACACACACACACACACACACACACACAUUGAGGUAGAGACAAACACACACACACACACACACACAUUGAGGUAGAGACAAACACACACACACACACACACAUUGAGGUAGAGACAAACACACACACACACAAACAUACAUAUGUACAAACACACAAAGACAGAGUGACACACACACACACACACACAUUGAGGUAGAGACAAACACACACACACACACAUACAUAUGUACAAACACACAAAGACAGAGUGACACACACACACACAUCCCUCAGACAGGAUUAUCCCACUCUCACAAGUUGAUCCUCUCUGGCAAGCACUGCCAGUCCCCUCUGAGCAUGGAACAGAAGCACUACUGUCAGGGCAGAGCUGUGACCUAGAGAGUAGUAUGUCUGUGUGUGUGUGUGGGUCUCUGUUUGUGUGUGUGUAUCCCUCUGUGUGUUUGUGUGUGUGUGUCUCCCGUUGUUUGUUUGGGUGUGUCAGGUCACAGGCCAAGGUCUCCAACCUGAUCCGCUCUGAGGCAAUCGGCCUGCGAGUGCAUUAAGAGAUUGCGGGGGGGACGCCGAGCCGAGGCUCACUGGCUCGACUUAAAGACAUACACAUAAUCCUGGCUGCUCUGCUGUGGUCUGCUCCACCUGACAAGGAUAAGUGUGGCAGGUGUGUCUGUCAGGGACUGUGUGUGUGUGUGUGUGUGUGUGUGUGUGUGUGUGUGUGUGUUUGUGCGUAUCCUCUCUGAGCUGUACCCCACCUACGCCCUCUCAGGCGUGCCCCUGUCCUUGGACACCCUUACCCGCCCUAGAGUCACUUCAUCUGCCAACUGGAUAAAGAGAGAGAGAGAUAAGGAGGGGUACACAGAGAGAGGGAGAGCGAGACAGAGAGCGAGACAGAGGUAGUCAGACAGACGGAGGGAGAGAGGGAACCAGCCAGUAGAGAGACGUGACAGGACAGAGGUUACCCCACACCCUGAUGUCAUCCUUCCCAGCCUGACCACACAAAGCAUGGUCAGUUAGCUAUAGUCACAAAGCACACCAACACUUAACCAUGCAUUUAAACUAUGGACGCUUGAGAUCUGCAAGUGUACGGUAUGUGUUUAUAAGGUAUGCUACAUAAUUCCACUGUAUGUCACUUGGACUGUGUUCAUUUUGAUAAUAAAUGGAAUUGCACAGAGAGAAAAC
This is a long non-coding RNA of Oncorhynchus tshawytscha (Chinook salmon), 4301 nucleotides long. The record is from Ensembl. NCBI's taxonomy places the organism in Eukaryota, Metazoa, Chordata, Actinopteri, Salmoniformes, Salmonidae.